AACCUUAUAAGUUGGGCGCGGGGGGAUGUCUUUUAUUAGGUAGAUGGGCGUGCUGGGUGCUGGGGGUUAGUGCAGAGGUGGAGGUCGCGCGGCGGCGGGGGACGGUGCGGCAGCGCGCGGCGGCCUGAGGCGGAGCGGUAGCGCGGCGGUCUGAGGAGGAGAGACAGCGCGGCGGCCUUAGGUGAGGCGGCAGCACGUUCCCACAGCGCGGCGGCCUUAGGUGAGGCGGCAGCACGUUCCCGCCGAGGCCUCGUGCUCGCUCGUAUCUCCCCCGGCCCUGGUCUUCGUUCUACGCUUUCGACCUCGCAGCGCGCCGUGGAACGCCGCCAGCACUGGGAGUUUCAGCGGAGCGAGGAGGUUCCGGACGGACGCACUCGGGUGCGACCUCCUACUGCGACUGGUACCGCGCCUCAGGCCGGCUGCCCUAGGCUGUACCAUCAGAAGAGGUUCCUCGCCACCAGCUACGGCUGCUCGUCUCCGGGAGCUAGUGGUCGGGAGGAGGGCGAUGAUAGGAGGUGUAGGGGCUACUUAUCCUAGGUCUCUUCGUGUUACGCGAGAAGGAGGGAAUACAGAUACGCCUAAACUGGAAACAACCCCAUGAAAAAUACUUAUCUACUACACUAACGAACAAUAAAGUAAGUUAAUUAUCAUUUUAACUACUCCGUUAACCUUCUUGGCUCGUCGUUAAAAUGAUGCCUAGACGCUGUAACUAAACCAGUAGAGACAGUGAUCGUUCAACGUAUUCUUACUCACCGCAACAUCUCCGCACUUACUUUUUGAAUCAUACCCUCUGUUAAUAUCAAUACUCAGGGAGCUAAUAUCUCACCUAGGUCCACUUUAAAGGACACGUAGUUUUCAGUCAAACUAGAUUAAACCUCGUAGUGAAGCUCGACACACACAGGGACUUAGUGCUUCCACAGCCCAGCACCGAAGCUAACGAAGAAGAAAGCCGACACCAAAUAACAAAACGGUCGAAGGAGCAAACUGAGAAUAAUCCCGAAACAAACGACCAAAGAAACGUCCAUAACGAGAAGACUCCAAGUCCCUCUACCAUCUCCGACUAGGCGCCACGAGACGACAUAACCAUAUUUCUGGUGCGACCAGGAACAAGAACCAAACCGUACGUCACGAGCCUACUACCCUUGAACAGUUCAGAACCAGACUUCCCGUACAAUAGAGGACUCUUACCUGUUGAAUGAUUAUACGUAAGAGACAUUUGUAUAAGAUAUCAAGGAGACCACUGCAAAAAAAAGACUGGUGAAACCAAAACUGUUUUGUACAAAGUGUGAAACUUGGUAUUCUAUCAUAAACCAUAAAGACUUUGACGGUUGACUUAGUCUCAGUAAAACGUGAAGCUAAAUCCGAAAGUACAACUCGUGUCAUCAUUUCGACUUUGAAACAUCACACAUACAAAAGGACUACUCGGAAUACUGGAGUCCAAAACUCGUCAGUUAAUCCCGUGUACUCAAUUGAACCACAUACAAGAAAGAACCUCACAUCAACCUAUGUUCUGUAUACAAAGAAGAACCUAGAUCCCCUGAAAACUCUUAUGUUAAGACGUAUCUAGAUUAAGUUCAUGUACUAA
Molecule: ribosomal RNA, 1585 nt
Filed under: Triticum aestivum (bread wheat)
Lineage: Eukaryota; Viridiplantae; Streptophyta; Magnoliopsida; Poales; Poaceae
Description: partial small subunit ribosomal RNA
Source: RNAcentral